RNAcentral lists this long non-coding RNA (766 nucleotides) under Rhinopithecus bieti (black snub-nosed monkey). RNAcentral describes it as "lncRNA (ENSRBIG00000046808.1)". Lineage: Eukaryota; Metazoa; Chordata; Mammalia; Primates; Cercopithecidae. The record is from RNAcentral.
UAGAAACCUCUGGAAAGAGAGGAGAUUGCAGUGAAGCCCCAGGGUCCUGAUUGUAGCUGGAGGUGCUUCAUGAUUUUUACUUACUUCCUCAUCUCUCCACUCCUGGUUACUUUUUGGAUUUCCUGUUCCAUUUCCUGCUUUCAUAGAAGCCUAAUUUUUAAUAUUAAAAUUUCAGUCAGCUGAAGAAAGGCAAUCUGUCUUCUCCUUCACACAGUUUAUGUCUUGAAGGAUUUCUCUAAUCUAUUCCAGCAGCGAGUUAAAGGAAAGUUUUAUUUAACCCCUGCACCAAUGCCUACAAUUGCUACUUGCCAACAUUUCAUUACUUCUUGCAGAAUGUAAGUGCCUGUGUCUAAAAAUGAAACAUUCUAGAGAUCAGAGCCCUUCAUGACACCAGCUCUCUGCUGUGCCUGUGGCCACCUGAUGUUGGAUACUGGAUGAUAUUGCAGAGCGACGGAGCAUCUAUGUGGAGGAGAGUUUUCUUCCCAGACCAAACCAAGAUAGUACCUGCCCAACAUACUUCCUCCUCCUCUUUCCUCUGCGGCUGUCUUACACCAACUUGCGAUCUGUUUUGUGGUUCCAGCCCAAUGGGCUCAUCAGUUUAUUCAGCUGGCUUUUAAAAUGGCCUCAUUUUUCCUGUCGUGGGGAAAGAGGCCACAGUGUAACCGGAGGAAAAUGACUGGCGGCCCUUCCGCGUGGCAUUUUAAAUCUGCAGUUCUCCCCGUGGUGACAGUGCCCAGGGGACAGUCAGGGCCACCCCUGCUUAUGC